RNAcentral lists this long non-coding RNA (874 nucleotides) under Mus musculus (house mouse). RNAcentral's name for it is "alncRNA-EC54". The record is from RNAcentral. Lineage: Eukaryota; Metazoa; Chordata; Mammalia; Rodentia; Muridae.
AGGAUGUGCCCAGAGGGCGCCCUUCCUUCAGAGGCCUCGUUUGCCCGACACUUACGACAGGCCUUAGGACGUAAGGCGUGGACGUGCGUGACGUCACCCUCUGGCCUGCGAGAUGGCGAGGGCAAGUAGCGGGGCCGAUGCUCCCUUGGGAUCCGGGUGUGGCUCGGCUCAGGUAACGCCCGGCCCUAGGACUCCUUCGGCCUCCGCCCACGGGGAGUGCUGAGACUGCCGGCCGGUGUGCUGGCGACCUUUACCCAGGCUUGGUCAAGGCUUCCUGGCUGGCGCAACUGCACUGGCCUCGCAGUGGACGCCUGCUGGUGACCUUUACUCUGUUAAACCAUCUUCCUGCUCUCCCAGUGAGAGCCUCAAAGCUGGGGAAGGUUUCAGACUGAAAAGCCAGAAAAAACAGGUAGAAGUUACAAGAAAGAAAAAGUCUUUUUAGAAACACCACAAAGAAAAUGAUCAACAAUCAAGAACAGACAAAAGCAGAAUGGAUUGGCUGUGUGGAAGGUUUUUGUUUUAUGAGUGUGUGUAUAUGCAUGACUGUAUGUAUGGUACACGUGUGUGCAGUUGCCCUAGGAGGCCAGGAGAGGGCACUGCAUCUUCAGGAACUGGAAUUACUGGUGGUUGCAAGCUGCCUAAUGUAGGAUAUGGGAGCCAGACUCACAUCUUGAGAACCAAACUUGUGUCCGUAGGAAGAACAGCAAGUGCUCUUAACAGAUGAAGUAUCUUUCCAGCCCUACUUUGGAAGUGUUUAAACUGAGAUAAGGUGGCUUUCUGUCUUAAUUCCCUAAGAAUAAAGAAAAAAGUUUGUUGUAUGUGUUUCUACGCAGAUUGUGAAGCCAGAAGUUGACAUUAAACAUCUUCCUUGACC